CCUCGUGAAUCUGCCCUAAGGAUGAGGCCGCGACCGAUCAGGUUGUUGGCGAGGGUAAUGGCUCACCAAGCCUUUUACCGGUGCGGGCCGUGGGAGCGGGAGCCCGGAGAUGGGUACUGAGACAAGGACCCAGGCCCUACGGGGCGCAGCAGUCGCGAAAACUUUGCAAUAAGCGCAAGCUUGACAGGGCUAUCCCGAGUGCCAUCCGCUGAGGAAGGCUUUUACCCAGUCUAGAACGCUGGGGGAAUAAGGAGAGGGCAAGUCUGGUGUCAGCCGCCGCGGUAAUACCAGCUCUCCGAGUGGUGUGGAUGUUUAUUGGGCCUAAAGCAUCCGUAGCUGGCUAAGUUAGUCCCCUGUUAAAUCAAACGAAUUAAUCGUUGGAUCGCGGGGGAUACUGCUUGGCUAGGGGACGAGAGAGGCAGACGGUAUUUUCGGGGUAGGGGUGAAAUCCUAUAAUCCCGGGAAGACCACCAGUGGCGAAGGCUGUCUGCUAGAACGCGCCCGACGGUGAGGGAUGAAAGCUGGGGGAGCGAACCGGAUUAGAUACCCGGGCAGUCCCAGCUGUAAACGAUGCAGCCUCUGGUAUGAUGGGACGGCCUCGUGCCGUUCUAGUGCCGCAGGGAAGCUGUUAAGUCUGAAGCAUAUGGUACGAUCGCAAGAUUGAAACUUAAAAGCGUAUUCAGGGAGCACACAAGGGGUGAAGCUUGCGGUUUAAUUGGAUUCAACGCCGGAAAGGCGAU
RNAcentral lists this ribosomal RNA (740 nucleotides) under uncultured archaeon. RNAcentral's name for it is "bacterial SSU rRNA". It matches the Rfam family "Archaeal small subunit ribosomal RNA", at positions 182 to 930 of the family's 1478-position model. The record is from RNAcentral.